GAUGAACGCUGGCGGCGUGCUUAACACAUGCAAGUCGAACGGAAAGGCUCCUGCUUGCAGGGGUACUCGAGUGGCGAACGGGUGAGUAACACGUGGGUGAUCUGCUCUGCACUUCGGGAUAAGCCUGGGAAACUGGGCCUAAUACCGGAUAGGACGAUGGUUUGGAUGCCAUUGUGGAAAGUUUUUUCGGUGUGGGAUGAGCUCGCGGCCUAUCAGCUUGUUGGUGGGGUAAUGGCCUACCAAGACGUCGACGGGUAGCCGACCUGAGAGGGUGUACGGCGACAUUGGGACUGAGAUACGGCCCAGACUCCUACGGGAGACAGCAGUGGCGAGUAUUGCACAAUGGGCGCAAGCCUGAUGCAGAGACGCCGGGUGGGGGAUGACGGCCUUCGGGUUGUAAACUCCUUUAGCUAGGGACGAAGCGCAAGUGACGGUACCUGGAGAAGAAGCACCGGCUAACUACGUG
This 466-nucleotide ribosomal RNA is filed under the name uncultured bacterium. Its description in RNAcentral is "partial 16S ribosomal RNA". It matches the Rfam family "Bacterial small subunit ribosomal RNA", at positions 28 to 507 of the family's 1533-position model. The record is from RNAcentral.